Molecule: ribosomal RNA, 253 nt
Filed under: uncultured bacterium
Lineage: Bacteria
Description: partial 16S ribosomal RNA
Rfam family: Bacterial small subunit ribosomal RNA
Source: RNAcentral
UACGUAGGGUCCGAGCGUUGUCCGGAAUUACUGGGCGUAAAGCGCGCGCAGGCGGCCCUCGAGGUGUCACGUGAAAGCCCCGGGCUCAACCCGGGAGGGUCGUGGCAAACCGGCGGGCUUGAGGCCGGUAGAGGUGGGUGGAACUCCUGGUGGAGUGGUGAAAUGCGUAGAGAUCAGGAAGAACACCCGUGGCGAAGGCGACCCACUGGGCCGGUACUGACGCUGAGGCGCGAAGGCGUGGGGAGCGAACGGG